CUUCAUAGAGGUGGUGUCAUUUGAGCUGAGGCUUGAAAGAUGAAUGUAACUUAUUAAUCAAAGGAGAGGGGAAAGGGCAGUCCAGGAGGAAGGAUCUGCAUAAGCAGAGGUGUGGAGGCUUUAGAGGGUAUGGCAUGCUGGGAGAAUGACCACAAGCAGUUUAUUACAGGAAUGGAGCAAGGAGAGUCCGGAUAGAGAGAGUCAGGAAAGGACUGGAAAGAUCCUGUAGCCCCUGGAAACUCCAGGAAAGAGGAAUUGGAGGUUCUCGAGUAAGGUCUAGUAGAGAAGAAUUGUGACCAGACUAUUGUCAUGGCUGGAGUGCAGACAAGGGUUAACCUAUAUAGUUGUCACCUUUCAAGUUGCCCCAUAUAUUGCCAGGAAAUGGUUUGAGGAGUGUGAUUUAGCCAAGGCAGGAUGCUUUCUGGCUUUGCAGCUCCUCCUCUGCGAGCAGUCCUGGGUGCUGAUACAGGGCUCAGGAAUGAGCCUCUCAGCAGGUACUAGGCGUGCCAUGUGCAGGCUCUUGCAGCCCAGCUGUUGCCCUGGCAGCUCCAUGACCACACCUCUGUGCCCAGACAUGGAUCAGAACUGGGAGAAAAAGAGAAGGUGGUACCUUCUAUCCCCUUCACCCUGGGUCUUUCAGGAUCUGCCCCAAGGAGCAGAAAACGGGUGCGCCCAGAGCAGCUUACUCAGGAGACGCUUGCUGUAUGUAUGGCCUGGGACAACUGUAAGAGCCCUGAGGGCACAGAGUAUGGGCAACAGGUGAUAGCAAAUCAAGGAGCAUAUUUAGCAAUGCCUGUGCUACCUAGCAAUGAGAAAUCUAUGAAAAUAGCGACACCACAGGAAUAGGGACUGCAGAGUGGGAAGAAAUGAGGGGUGACCAUGUUGAAGAAACUGUGUUUCGGCAGAGGAGAGAGCAGAGCAAUGGGGUGAGGUGGGAAUGCUUUUGGGUGGGCUUCAGAAGCAGUGAGGUCAGUGUGGCUGUCGUGAGGUGUGGAGAGUUGGGGAAGAGGAAAGGGGGUACCUGAGUUACCUGGGGCCACGUCACGUAGGGCCUGGUGGGCUGUGGUAGGGACUUGGGAUGUUUCUCUAAGUGCAGAAGAUUUUGAGCUGGGGAGAUGUGAUUGGAUUUAUGUUGUAGGGGCAAUAGAGACUAGGGAAUUGAACAGGAAGCAGGGAGGCCAGGAGGUGGCAGCUGUAGAGGUCUGGAGGCUUGGAUGUAACCAGGAGGGUUGGACAGAGCUACAGGUCAGACUGGGUCCACAUUUCAAAGGGGAUCUUAAAGGCUGUGAGAGGGACUAUUACAUGCCACCAAUAUUGAUUGUGCUCCUACCAUCAGGAUACAGAGAUGAGACAGUGAUUCCUGUCCUCAAGGAGGUUACAUUCGCAUGGGGAGAGACACAUAGCAAAAGAGACCACCAAGGCAAGUCCGCCGAGAGAUGAUGAGAGCCCAGAGGGCAUAUCACUAAGAGAAGGCCAGGAAUGAUCUCACGGAGCAAAUGGCAAUUGGCUUGAGUUUUGAGGAAGUAGAAGUUUGGUCAACAGGUAGGAAGCUGAGUAGGAAGGGAAUUUCUGGCAAAGGCACAGUUGCUGGUUCAGUGGCAUCGUUCCCUCUGGGGAAUCUGGGAAGACUGUGCCUGACUGUGGUUCCUGAUGGGAUUGCUGGUAACUGGCUCCAGAAAGAUUAUUUGGUGGAUAAAAAAAAAAUGCAGGAUAUAUUUGGAAAACUACAAGUUAGCCUCUAAGCUGGCAAUGUGAUGAGGGCAUGGCAGGGUGCCUCUAGGUUCUCUACAGUAAUGGGGCUCUGAAGAGAAAUUGAGGGGACUGUGAAGCUGUGUUUGCACAGUUCUCUGCAUAAGAUUUGGAAACAGCUGACAAUGCGCAUUAAAGAAUGAGGGUGCUGCUAAUGGAGGUCAUGAGAGUCACCACUCCCUAAACUUGCUCCUUGGCCCCCUCUUUGAGCUUGGAGGUAAAUCUGUGGAGGCUAAGGUUGGGUGGGGCAGUGUAUGUCCUGUUAAUGAGUUAGGACCACAACAAACAGGGAGCUCUUGAUGGGGUUCCUGAAGGUGAGUGAGAAGCUCAGGUGAGUCCUCUAGGGAGUUCACUCUGGAGUGUUGAGGGAGACAGAGUAGACAGGACAAGACAGCAGCUGAGGAAGAGGAUGGCUAGAAGGCUGUUGCAAAAUUCCACUAUGAUCUUCCCUUUGUAAAACCUUCUUUGGAACACACCCCAGAAUACACUGGAAAAUUCAGAAAGGUGGACAAUGGAGAAAGGACAGGAAGCAAGUCCCAGAAUCCACAGCAGCUCCCCAGCACCCCGGGCAAGCACUACCUCCCUGCCAAGGUUCAAGUGGGGCUCUCUUGGCAGCCUCCAUAGGAACUGGCCCGGGGCGAGUUCCCGGGGUAAAAGGUGCAACCUGGGUGUGGGCCGGUUUCCUUGUGAAGGCUGUGGCUUCCCCUCAGGCUCACCCUUGCUGAUGCUGAGUAAUCUGCAGGCUGCAAUCUGCCCGUGAAAGAACUCUUGCAACACAUUGUGUGAGGAUCCCAGGUAAACAGCCAAUGUGUGUGCCCAGAGCUGCACUUACGUCUGUCUUCUAGGGAAGCCUCCCUCCCCGCUGGCCUUCAGGCUGUGCCUCCACCCUGCCUCUGUCUUGUUCUCUUAGGCUGCCCUGUCCUUCCCUGGGAAUCAGGUCAAGAGCCCUGCUGGCAGGUGUCCUAGAGCAUGAAUCAGGCCCCUGGCAAGGAGAAGGCGGGAGAUCUUGGCUGAGAUCAGGUAGGAAGGUUUAUUGGAUGAUGUGUCUGGUCAAUAGCCAAUCUAUUAACCCCCCCUGAGAGAAUUAGGAACCUUCAUAUGAUGGGUCAUCUCUUUGUGGGAGAAGUUUAGAUAACUGGAAACCACAUUUUGGUCAAGAAUGACUCAGUUAAUUUUUCCAUGCCUUUAGUGAGGAUUUAAUUUUGCACGGGUAAGUGACUUCAGAGUGGUUGGUGAAAGCUGGCUGGCUGUCAUUUUGUCUGGCAGUGCAGAGUGGCAAUUUAUCCCUUUAGGUGGCCCAAGAUUUGGGUGGCUGGACUUUCCAAGGCAAUUUAAUUUAAUUUAUUUGUUUAUGCUGAGCCUUGGGUUAAUGCUUUCAAAUGGUUUAUUUCAGAGAUCUGAUAACCUGCGGACUGACUUUCUCCUUCUAGACUUGUGUUGAUUUGAUUCAACAGACCCUCAUGACUCAUGAAGCACCUAUAUGUACCAGUCAUUGUGAUAAAUCUGGGGAUUAGACAGGGGCAAAACUCAGUCCUUGUUGAGUUAGCUCAUGGUGCAAUACUGGACUCAGACAUAAACAAACACACAGAAAUGAUAGGUUUGUGUGGCAUGCUGAAGGCCCAGGUAAGAAGGAAUUCAUUCUGUUGGAUAAGGCGGGGACUCAAGGAGGCUUCCUGGAGGAAGCGAAAUCCUAGAUGAGUCUGAAAGGGUAAAUAGGAAUGAAUGCUCUCCAACUCUGAUGGAGUUGAUGAUCUCAGGGUUGGCCUCUUUUCAUACUGGUUUUGAGUAUAAAUGAUUAAUUUGUUUGUAAUAAUUAAUAAAAAGAAGAAGAAUGCAUUCACAAGCAUCACAAGUGAAUCCAUCCCUGACUUCUUAGUAAUUUCCCCUUUUACACCCUGCUAAUAUGAUCCCUGUUUUUUGCCCUUUAUGAAGUGGUCCACAGUGUGAAAAAUUUGAAAGGCCCCAAAGAAUGAAUAGUUCUUCAGUAAACGAAUUGGAACAGCAUAUUGGGCAUGGAGUCAAGAUGUUGACCUAUGUAAUUCUUUUGACUUUUUUAUUUUAAAAUUACUAUGAUUCCUUCAGGGCAAGCACUGCUUUAAUAAUUCAUCUUUCUGUCUUCAAAAGUCAGCCCAGUGACUGUCCCUUAUUCCACAGAUGUGGAACCAAUUCAGGAUUGUCCUUGUGAUUCUUUUUCCUAAGUGGAAUACUGAGCCUCCAGCUUGUGUGUCAUAUGUGUGGACUUUUCAGCAUAUUCUUCUCUGGCCCAGAAGUCUGGAUUCUUCUUGUCUGUUGCAAUAAUAUAAAGGUUGGAAUUUUCAAAGUCUUUCCAGACCAAUCUUUCUAAUUAUUUGGCUAGGCCCCUUGGAACGGUUCUCUAACUUGCUUUACUUUCCUUGUUUUUCAUUGAAGUUAUUCAGAGCUGUACAUGAAGAGAAGUCCCACAGGGACCCUGGGAUCAGAAGAACUCUGGGAAAUGCCUGGCCCAGCCAGUGCUGUUCUAAAGAUCCUCAUCCUCAUGGAGAUAACCAUUUUUAAGGAAGAAAAGAGGAUCUGGACCCUACCCAUCUCAGUCUCCAUCAGAUCUUAUGGAUGCUCCAGGAAUUGGCCAUGAUUCUCCUCUUUUCUACCAUCUUGUAUGUUGGGCUUUGUAGAGGAUAGAUGUUUUCUAGAAGAAUGGCAGAUAAGGCAAGGUCUGCAGCUUGCCAUUGAUAGUGUCUUUAUCAACAGAUCUGUGAGGAAUUGUGCAGCUGAGAGGGGAGAAGAGAAAUCAGAGAGUGGAUGGACUGCCACAGUUCAACAUAUACUGGUGCUUUCAAUAUAGAAUCCACAAGGCAACCUGCAUGCUGGGCUCUGUGCUAGGCACUAGGGGUAUAUCUAUGAGAUGCCACCCCAGCUCCCACAGUCUUACAAUCUAAUGGGGAAGAGAGAUAUGUCAAUAGACAAACGCAGCAGAUGGCAAGUGCUGGGAUAUGAAACAGUAAGCAGAAGCCACAGUGUUCUCUGGGACUUCUGAGCUGAGUCCCAAAGUAAUUAGAUUAAUCCGUCAUGGGAGGUGGAGUGGGUAGGGGGAGCUCCUGGAAGCAUGAUCAAAAGUGGAGAGCUAAGGUGAGGGAGAAGAAAGAAAUGAGAUUCAGCAAAGAGGAGGAGAGCAAUGAAGGGCCAUGUAUGACCAGGCGAAGGCAAAUUGUUCGGACCAAACAUGACAGUAGGGUGGGUUUUUGAGGGGUAUCCACUGCACUUACAGAGGCAAGAUUCUCUAUGGUGACCUUUCAGUGAGGGUGGGCAAAUACACUACUUUUUGAGUCAGCCAUUUUUCACUACUGAGCACCUCUGGCCUUAGCAAGUUCUGAGCAUGAAUACUUUCUUCUGUUUCUAAGCCAUUCAACAAAUAUCAAAGUGCUUUCCCAUGUAUUGGUCAUCUUAGGCAAACUGGGUGGACAUGUAGAGCAAGACGUAAUGAGGUAAGCACUCACUAGAGCUAGGUCAUCUUAGAAAAGUCACUUAGCUUCACUGAGCCUCAGUCUUCCUAUCUGUGAAAUGGGGAUAAUGACCCUUAUGUCACCUGGUGGGCAAGGUCUAAAUAAAAUCAUUGUAGUUAGAUCCAUAGUAGGUUCUUUCUGACCUACCACUGUGCACCUCACGCCGUUGCUAUUCCAGUGGGAUAUAUCCAGUGGGGUUACGGGUAUGACAUUUCGGAACCCCACCAUCACUUGUAUCAGCAGGUCUGUCCUAGGUUCCCCAACUAAGCUUCCUGGAUGAGGCACCUAGUGGCGUCCCCUAGUUUGAGUGUGGGGGGUUUGGUAAACUAGUCCUUAUGUAUGCUUGUCAGAUGGAGGGUACUGUCUUUAAGAUGGGCUCAUAGCUGAAUCUGGAAGGUAAGUGCUCCAGGCCAGUAUUGUUUUCUGCAGGAUUCAAAGUUCCCUUGCUAUUUCUGCUGACUUUGCUUCCCCUCUCGUGUUCUAUAUCCCAAACCUAUUAUCUUCACCAGCGUUAAUUUGCCUCCACAACUCUGUUUUUGCAUUUUGAAAUGGAAUUUCCCUUAACCUAUAUUCCUCUGGUUCCCAAACUCCACCUGCUUCAGUUUUUUUUUCAAUAUCAUCUACAUUUCCUUCACUAGAUUAUAGCCUUAGUCAUUUGUACCCUUAGAAUGAAUAUUUUUUUCUGUCAUAUCUUUGUUUGAACCUUUUCACAUUUGACUUCAGACAUUACCCAUCUCCUUCAUCUGACCACUUUCUUCACUUUUCUCAUCUUUCCAUUUUGGUUGUAUGUCUACUGAGCAAGGGGCUCUGUGCAGAGCAUUCAAAGAUGACUGAGAUGUAGUCUUGUGGGUAGAGAGAGACAAUUAGAAUGCACCGUGGAGAGUGUUAGGUUGAGGGAAGCGGAGAUUACAGGAGUCCAAAUGUCUUAUCCGAGGAUAUGGGAUAGGCUUGAGAGAAGAUGCUGAGCUCAUGUAGGUGAGGUAUUGUCCUACGUGAAGGAAAAGAGGCAGGAGAUGGCAGCUUGGAGGCUAUAUUACUUUCUCUGGGGCUGCCAUACCAAAGUACCACAAACUGGGUGGCUUAAAACAUCAAAAAUGUAUUUUCUCACAGUUCUAGAAGGUAGAAGCCCAAAAUCAAGAUGUUGGCCCUACAGCUGUGCUCCUUCUGAAGGCUUUGGGGUGAAUGUGUUUAAUGCCCUUUUCUUAGCUUCUGCCCUUUUCUUUUCUGGCCUUCACAGAAGGCCAAAGAGCAAUCCUUGGCCUUCCUUGGCUUGUGGAUGCAUCGUUUCAGUCUCUGCCUCUGUUUUCACAUGGCCCUCUUCCCUGUGUAUCUGUCUCUACGCUGCUUCUCAUCUUAUAAGGACACAAGUCAGAUUGGAAUAAAGCCUAUUCUAAUUCAGUAUAAUCACAUCUUAACUUGAUUAUGUAUGCAAAGACCAUAUUUCCAAAUAAGGUCACAUUUUCAGGUCCUCGGGGUUAGAGCUUUCACAUGUCUUUUUGGGGGACAUAGUUCAACUCAUAAUAGAAACCUCGCAGAUAAAUCAUUUUGGCCGGUGCACAGAGUUAAGUGGUGGAUUAUCAAGAAUAUGGAAUUUUAGAAUUUUAGCUUCUUGGUUGAUUUUUGGGAAUUAACAUACAGGAGAGCAGGUUUAGAAGUAACAAUAACACUUUGAGAGGCCGAGGUGGGCAGAUCAUGAGGUCAGGAGAUCGAGACCAUCCUGGCUAACAUGGUGAAACCCCGUCUCCACUAAAAAUACAAAAAUUAGCCGGGCAUGGUGGCAGGUGCCUGUAGUCCCAGCUACUCAGAAGGCUGAGGCAGCAGAAUGGCAUGAACCCGGGAGGCGGAGGUUGCAGUGAGCCGAGAUCGUGCCACUGCACUCCAGCUGGGGAGACAGAGUGAGACUCUGUCUCAUAAAAAAAAGAAGUGACAAUAACAAUAACAGAGGCUGGUCUUCUGGGAAUGAUGCGAUACUCUUCAGCCAGCCUUUCUGUUUUGAGCGAAGCCCCAACCUGGAGUUCAAAGAGAGUGAGGGCGCUUCCUGUCUUCUUGUCUUUCUCCUCUCUCCUGCUACUUGUUAUGAAAUUCAGAACAAUUAGAGAUUUUCUGUCUCAUCCCUGGAAUGGUGUUUCUCCUGCUGGCCCUAUCAGGCUGGUGUGUUGAUGUUAUCGGGGAGAGGCUGUAGUUACUAGGAUGAAGAAGGCAAGAGAGAAAUGGAAUUCACGCAGAUCAAACAUGUGUAAUCAGAAGACAUUACUGAGGCUUGAUGAUGCUGUUCAGGGUGUAUUUCCCUUGAAACGCUUCUUAAAAGACAGCAGCUUAAACAAAUGGGCAAGAUGAGAUUCACAGAGGUAACAUUUCAGAGAGAAUGUAGGUACAGCUAAGCAGAGCUAAGCAGUGACAGAAGGAGAAAGUGUGUCUGAAGAAAAAUCUUCAUUACAGAUUUGAAAGAAAAAAAACCCAUCAAAUCCCUCUGCCUUGUGGGUCUCACAGGAGGCAAACUUUCUUUACAAACUGUGUGUUUGUGUUUUGAGUGACUAAGAGUUCAGGGACAAGUUCAAACACACCUAAGUUCAAUUUAAAAGUAAAUGAGAUGACAUUGGAGGAAAUUUAUAAUAAAAUGUCACUCUUUACCUAACACCAUUUUCUCUGGAAUUCAAAAUAUCCAUUGUUUAAAAGUGACACAGUAACUACCAUCUAGUUUGCUGAAUGACCUUCUUUAUAGCGUCAUGGUAUUAGAAAUGGCUUCAGAAGGAAUCACUCAACUGCAUUUAUCUGGCAGGAGAAAAAUGCAGGUAGUAUUUAUUUUGGGGUGUGGUAGGGGAUGUCCCCUAGCAAGGAUCCUAGAAGUCAGUGUCAGGUAUGAGAACAAGAAACAUUCAUUUAUUGCAUGCAUACUCAUUGAGUCCCUACUAUGUAUUGGUAUUAUGUGGCAGUAUGAAUAUUCUCAUUUGUUAAAUAAAGAUACUUGAGUCUGCUUUCAGUGUUGUGGGUUUUGUUAUUAAGAGUAAUACAGUCAUGUGUUGCUUGAUCAUGGGGACUUGUUCUGAGAAAUGUGUUGUCAAGCAAUUCUGUCUUUGUGGGAACCUCGUAGAGAGUAGGGUACUUACAAAAACCUAGAUGGGAUAGCUUAAUACGCACCUAGGCUGUAGGGUAAAGCCCAUUGCUCCCAGGCUACAAACCUGUAGAGCAUGUUACUGACUGAAUACUGUAGGCAGUUGUAACAAAUCACUAGGCAACAGAAACUUUGCAGCUCUGUUAUUAUCUUAUGGCACCACUGUUGUGUAUGCAGUCUGUUGACCAAAA
Molecule: long non-coding RNA, 8531 nt
Filed under: Homo sapiens (human)
Lineage: Eukaryota; Metazoa; Chordata; Mammalia; Primates; Hominidae
Description: long non-coding RNA NONHSAT217617.1
Source: RNAcentral